AUUGAACGCUGGCGGCGUGCCUAACACAUGCAAGUCGAGCGGUAACAGGUGUAGCAAUACAUGCUGACGAGCGGCGAACGGGUGAGUAAUGCUUCGGAAUCUACCCAAUGGUGGGGAAUAACCAGCCGAAAGGUUGGCUAAUACCGCAUACGUCCCACGGGAGAAAGCAGGGGAUCGCAAGACCUUGCGCCAAUGGAUGAGCCGAAGUCGGAUUAGCUAGUUGGAGGGUAACGGCCUACCAAGGCGACGAUCCGUAGCUGGUCUGAGAGGACGACCAGCCACACUGGGACUGAGACACGGCCCAGACUCCUACGGGAGGCAGCAGUGGGGAAUAUUGGACAAUGGGGGAAACCCUGAUCCAGCGACGCCGCGUGUGUGAAGAAGGUCUGCGGGUUGUAAAGCACUUUUAGUGGGGAUGAAAUGUUCAGGGUUAACACCUCUGGAUUUUGACCUAACCCACAGAAAAGCACCGGCUAACUCUGUGCCAGCCGCCGCAGUAAG
This 501-nucleotide ribosomal RNA is filed under the name uncultured bacterium. RNAcentral describes it as "bacterial SSU rRNA". It matches the Rfam family "Bacterial small subunit ribosomal RNA", at positions 30 to 524 of the family's 1533-position model. The record is from RNAcentral.